UAAAAACCCCGACUUCGGAAGGGGUGUAUUUAUUAGAUACAAAACCAAUGCCCUUCGGGGCUCUUUGGUGAUUCAUGAUAACUAUACGAAUCGCACGGCCUUGCGCCGGCGAUGGUUCAUUCGAAUUUCUUCCCUAUCAACUUUCGAUGUUUGGGUAUUGGCCAAACAUGGUUGCAACGGGUAACGGAGGGUUAGGGCUCGACCCCGGAGAAGGAGCCUGAGAAACGGCUACUACAUCCAAGGAAGGCAGCAGGCGCGCAAAUUACCCAAUCCCGACUCGGGGAGGUAGUGACAAUAAAUACUGAUACAGGGCCCUUUCGGGCCUUGUAAUUGGAAUGAGUACAAUUUAAAUCCCUUAACGAGGAACAAUUGGAGGGCAAGUCUGGUGCCAGCAGCCGCGGUAAUUCCAGCUCCAAUAGCGUAUAUUAAAGUUGUUGUGGUUAAAAAGCUCGUAGUUGAACCUUGGGCCUGGCUGGCCGGUCCGCCUCACCGCGUGCACUGGUCCGGCCGGGCCUUUCCCUCUGUGGAACCCCAUACCCUUCACUGGGCGUGGCGGGGAAACAGGACAUUUACUUU
This 576-nucleotide ribosomal RNA is filed under the name uncultured eukaryote. RNAcentral's name for it is "SSU rRNA". It matches the Rfam family "Eukaryotic small subunit ribosomal RNA", at positions 174 to 758 of the family's 1831-position model. The record is from RNAcentral.